This 460-nucleotide ribosomal RNA is filed under the name uncultured bacterium. RNAcentral describes it as "partial 16S ribosomal RNA". It matches the Rfam family "Bacterial small subunit ribosomal RNA", at positions 338 to 795 of the family's 1533-position model. The record is from RNAcentral.
UCUACGGGAUGCUGCAGUGAGGAAUAUUGGUCAAUGGACGAGAGUCUGAACCAGCCAAGUAGCGUGAAGGAUGACUGCCCUAUGGGUUGUAAACUUCUUUUAUAAAGGAAUAAAACGAGGCACGUGUGCCUUUUUGCAUGUACUUUAUGAAUAAGGAUCGGCUAACUCCGUGCCAGCAGCCGCGGUAAUACGGAGAAUCCGAGCGUUAUCCGGAUUUAGUGGGUUUAAAGGGAGCGUAGAUGGGUUGUUAAGUCAGUUGGGAACGUUUGCGGCUCAACCGUAAAAUUGCAAUUGAUACUGGCAGUCUUGAGUACAGUUGAGGUAGGCGGAAUUCGUGGUGUAGCGGUGAAAUGCUUAGAUAUCACGAAGAACCCCGAUUGCGAAGGCAGCUUACUAAACUGUGACUGACAUUGAUGCUCGAAAGUGUGGGUAUCAAACAGGAUUAGAUACCCUUGUAGUC